GCUGGAGUGGUGAAACUGGUAGACGCACUGGAUUCAAAAUCCAGCGGGGGCAACUCCAUGAGGGUUCGACUCCCUCCUCCAGCA
RNAcentral lists this transfer RNA (84 nucleotides) under hydrothermal vent metagenome. RNAcentral describes it as "tRNA-Leu-CAA". It matches the Rfam family "tRNA". Rfam says of the family: Transfer RNA (tRNA) molecules are approximately 80 nucleotides in length. Their secondary structure includes four short double-helical elements and three loops (D, anti-codon, and T loops). Further hydrogen bonds mediate the characteristic L-shaped molecular structure. tRNAs have two regions of fundamental functional importance: the anti-codon, which is responsible for specific mRNA codon recognition, and the 3' end, to which the tRNAs corresponding amino acid is attached (by aminoacyl-tRNA synthetases). tRNAs cope with the degeneracy of the genetic code in two manners: having more than one tRNA (with a specific anti-codon) for a particular amino acid; and 'wobble' base-pairing, i.e. permitting non-standard base-pairing at the 3rd anti-codon position. The record is from RNAcentral.